RNAcentral lists this ribosomal RNA (253 nucleotides) under uncultured bacterium. RNAcentral's name for it is "partial 16S ribosomal RNA". It matches the Rfam family "Bacterial small subunit ribosomal RNA", at positions 524 to 776 of the family's 1533-position model. The record is from RNAcentral.
UACGUAGGGGGCAAGCGUUGUCCGGAAUCAUUGGGCGUAAAGCGCGUGUAGGCGGCUCGAUAAGUCUGCUGUGAAAGUCCAAGGCUCAACCUCGAGACGCCGGUGGAAACCGUAAAGCUAGAGUCCGGAAGAGGAGAGUGGAAUUCCUGGUGUAGCGGUGAAAUGCGCAGAUAUCAGGAGGAACACCCGUGGCGAAAGCGGCUCUCUGGGACGGUACUGACGCUGAGACGCGAAAGCGUGGGGAGCAAACAGG